AAUCAACGCUGGCGGCGUGCCUAACACAUGCAAGUCGCACGAGAAAGGGGAGCAAUCCCUGAGUAAAGUGGCGCACGGGUGAGUAACACGUGAAUCAUCUACCUCCGAGUGGGGAAUAACUGAGAGAAAUCUUAGCUAAUACCGCAUAACACUUACGAGUCAAAGCAGCAAUGCGCUUGGAGAGGAGUUCGCGGCCGAUUAGUUAGUUGGCGGGGUAAUGGCCCACCAAGACGAUGAUCGGUAUCCGGCCUGAGAGGGCGCGCGGACACACUGGAACUGAAACACGGUCCAGACUCCUACGGGAGGCAGCAGUGGGGAAUUUUGCGCAAGUGGGGGAAACCCUGACGCAGCAACGCCGCGUGGAGGAUGAAGUAUCUUGGUACGUAAACUCCUUUCGAUUGGGAAGAUAAUGACGGUACCAAUAGAAGAAGCCCCGGCUAACUUCGUGCCAGCAGCCGCGGUAAU
Molecule: ribosomal RNA, 465 nt
Filed under: uncultured bacterium
Lineage: Bacteria
Description: bacterial SSU rRNA
Rfam family: Bacterial small subunit ribosomal RNA
Source: RNAcentral